AGUCGAGGGGCAUCAGGAAGAAAGCUUGCUUUCUUUGCUGGCGACCGGCGCACGGGUGAGUAACACGUAUCCAACCUGCCCUUUACUCGGGGAUAGCCUUUCGAAAGAAAGAUUAAUACCCGAUGGCAUAAUGAUUCCGCAUGGUUUCAUUAUUAAAGGAUUCCGGUAAAGGAUGGGGAUGCGUUCCAUUAGGUUGUUGGUGAGGUAACGGCUCACCAAGCCUUCGAUGGAUAGGGGUUCUGAGAGGAAGGUCCCCCACAUUGGAACUGAGACACGGUCCAAACUCCUACGGGAGGCAGCAGUGAGGAAUAUUGGUCAAUGGGCGCUAGCCUGAACCAGCCAAGUAGCGUGAAGGAUGAAGGCUCUAUGGGUCGUAAACUUCUUUUAUAUAAGAAUAAAGUGCAGUAUGUAUACUGUUUUGUAUGUAUUAUAUGAAUAAGGAUCGGCUAACUCCGUGCCAGCAGCCGCGGUAAUACGGAGGAUCCGAGCGUUAUCCGGAUUUAUUGGGUUUAAAGGGAGCGUAGGUGGACUGGUAAGUCAGUUGUGAAAGUUUGCGGCUCAACCGUAAAAUUGCAGUUGAUACUGUCAGUCUUGAGUACAGUAGAGGUGGGCGGAAUCCGUGGUGUAGCGGUGAAAUGCUUAGAUAUCACGAAGAACUCCGAUUGCGAAGGCAGCUCACUGGACUGCAAC
Molecule: ribosomal RNA, 690 nt
Filed under: uncultured Bacteroidales bacterium
Lineage: Bacteria; Pseudomonadati; Bacteroidota; Bacteroidia; Bacteroidales
Description: bacterial SSU rRNA
Rfam family: Bacterial small subunit ribosomal RNA
Source: RNAcentral